This is a non-coding RNA of Podarcis lilfordi (Lilford's wall lizard), 73 nucleotides long. NCBI's taxonomy places the organism in Eukaryota, Metazoa, Chordata, Lepidosauria, Squamata, Lacertidae. The record is from the annotation of a GenBank genome assembly.
GCUGGGAUAGCUCAGUUGGUAGAGCGUGAGACUCUUAAUCUCGGGGUCAUGGGUUUGAACCCUGCGUUGGGUG